Molecule: non-coding RNA, 97 nt
Organism: Pelobates cultripes (western spadefoot toad)
Lineage: Eukaryota; Metazoa; Chordata; Amphibia; Anura; Pelobatidae
Source: the annotation of a GenBank genome assembly
ACAAGCUUUCGGGAGAACCUCCCUUUCUCAAGUCUGAAGCAUUUCUGCCUACAGAAAUGCUUCAGACUUGAGAAAGGGAGGUUCUCCCGAAAGCUUG